GGAAGAGCUCGGUGCCCCAGGAGAUGAUGCGCGGGAGAUGAUGCAACUUCUCGAUUCAAACAGUGAUGGUUUUCUGAGCUCAGAUGAAUUUGAUAUAUUUCAGAAUCAGGUUGAAUUCAUCCGGAAUAUAGAAGACAGAGAUGAUCAUUACCAAACACUGUUAAAUGCUAAGCUGCAAUUGGCAAACGACACCGGUUUGAUUCAACUGUACAGUAAAGAGCAAGGUAGUCUGGUAACAAAUUAAAUUAGUAAAUUCUGUUAAAUCUGUGUUCUUUAUGUAUGUAUUUAUUGAAAAGGCCGUGGCGCUAUACUGGGGAUUAUUGAAGCCUCAAAAUAGAUAUCUUUCCAGGGAAAGAUACUUGAUCCCUCUGUAUAAUAGUUAUCUGUGCACGGUCUCAAUCAAAUAUAAUGUAUCUGUAUGUUGUAACAUGUAUCAUUUCUGUACAACUCUUGUACAUAGUGUUUU
Molecule: unclassified non-coding RNA, 466 nt
Filed under: Hevea brasiliensis (rubber tree)
Lineage: Eukaryota; Viridiplantae; Streptophyta; Magnoliopsida; Malpighiales; Euphorbiaceae
Source: RNAcentral